This 466-nucleotide ribosomal RNA is filed under the name uncultured bacterium. Its description in RNAcentral is "partial 16S ribosomal RNA". It matches the Rfam family "Bacterial small subunit ribosomal RNA", at positions 28 to 507 of the family's 1533-position model. The record is from RNAcentral.
GAUGAACGCUGGCGGCGUGCUUAACACAUGCAAGUCGAACGGAAAGGCCCAAGCUUGCUUGGGUACUCGAGUGGCGAACGGGUGAGUAACACGUGGGUGAUCUGCCCUGCACUUCGGGAUAAGCCUGGGAAACUGGGUCUAAUACCGGAUAGGACCACAUUUUGGAUGGUGUGGUGGAAAGUUUUUCGGUGUGGGAUGAGCUCGCGGCCUAUCAGCUUGUUGGUGGGGUAAUGGCCUACCAAGGCGUCGACGGGUAGCCGGCCUGAGAGGGUGUACGGCCACAUUGGGACUGAGAUACGGCCCAGACUCCUACGGGAGGCGGCAGCGGGGAAUAUUGCACAAUGGGCGCAAGCCUGAUGCAGCGACGCCGCGUGGGGGAUGACGGCCUUCGGGUUGUAAACUCCUUUCGCUAGGGACGAAGCGUUAUGUGACGGUACCUGGAGAAGAAGCACCGGCUAACUACGUG